UUUUGUUGAUUCCGGGGCCGACUUGCCAGACCUGGUUCACAGUCUCCGCCUUCUCGGGAACCUUGACGGUAGCGAAGAUCGUUAGGGUUCCGCUGGCGAGCUCGGCGCUGGUGUCCCAGAAGUCGAAGGCGAGCUUUCCGGGAGUGAGGAUGUUGUAAGAGGUGAUGUUGAGGGUUUUGAUGGCCGGGAUGCCGUCUUCUUUGGUGUAGGCGACGAUGGCUUGAGCGCCGGACAUUUUGGUGCCGGUGGGGUUGAUGGCCCAGGCGAUCCAGCCGCCGGGCUUGGAAGGGGCGGCGACGAAGGCGACGGCGAGGGAGGAGUUGGAGGCGUUGUAGGAGUAGUAGAGGUGGGAGUCGAGGGCGGAGAGGACGGUGCAGUUGGCGAAGACCUUGUUGUUCUUGAACUUGGUGGAGGGGCAGGCGGUGGCUGCCUGAGAGGGGGAGAUUAGAAGAGCCGAGAGGGAGACCAGGAGGAAGAGGAGGAGGGGAGAGAAGGAAGCCAUUGGGGAGAGAGUGAGAGUGAGUAGUGCUUGCUUUGCUAAAUGGAAGGGAAGCUUUAAGCAAGUAGGGUUAUUUAUAUCCAUGGCCGGAGUGAGGUGUGGAGAUAAACGUGGAGCUUCAAUGUUUAAUUUAUGAUUGGUGCUCCGAGAUUAGCUUAUUUGUAUUUGUGUCCAGAGUACUUUAUUUGCCUAUUUAAGACAAAAUUAUCAUUUUGAUUAGGUUUUAUAUGAUGAUGCUCAAAUCGGAGUAACGUUAACCUAGUCAAUAUAUAACUGAUCAAGUAAUGUUGAAUAUAUGAAUUUAUCAAUGAAAGAAAUAAAAUAACACAAUGUAAAUAAUUAAGAGUACUGAUUAAUCGAGAAUAAUUUCUUAAGCCACCAAUUUUUUUGGAGGGGGUUGCGAAUCCUAGGUUUCAUCUGGCAACUCUGGGGUACUUUUUUCGGGCAAGAUGGCGGUGAUUGUGACUUGGUUCAUGGCGGCUAUAUGGGGAAAAUCCUUGACGUUGAUCAUGCUUGGGUGGGAGGAUCUUAGACCAUAUUGUUGGUUUUGAACCUUUUCAUUGUUGGAUAACGGGGCCGUUGGAUCUUUUGGUGAUUUCGGUGGCUGGGAAGGGUUACAAGCGAGGUUGGCGAUGGUCUGGGUGUCGCAACAGCCAGACCAUGGUUUGUUUUCCGGCUUGGCUUGGCGAUGGUGUGGGUCAUGGUCUAACCAGAUCGCUUCAACUCAUAUUAGAUUCAGACUUGAGGGCGAAGGUGCUGGCUUUGAAGGCAUCGUCGAUGGUCUUGGGAGUCGGUGAACCAACUGUGGUCGGGUGGCCACCUAACACUGGUAUGGUUGAAGGUUCUUAUGUGGCGCCGACGUCUGAGUCAGAGGUCGUGGGUGGACCUAAAGGUUGUGGGCCCGACUUGUUAGGCUCUACAACCGAAAGGUUGACUGAUAGGUUGUUGAGGUCGGGCCUGAUGUGUUAAUUAGGCUUGCCUUCAAUUACCUUGUUGUUGUUGUUGACGGUGCAUUGGCUAACCCUGGCGUCAAGGGCAACAAUGCGGCGUAGAUAUCAGAUCUUGUAGCUUGGGUAUUAGAUUGAAUUUAGUUACUUGAUUUUUGAUUUGCUAGGUGUACACCAAUAAUUGAGGUCUUAGACACAUCUAGUUUACUGUUUGAGAUUUUUACUUUUCUUUUGUUGCAGGCUCUUUAUGAGCCAAUUUGUACAAGAAUGAAGGAACCUCAAGUUUGUCGACAUUUCUCUUUGGAGAUGAAAUACUAGAUCAACUAUAAAGGCUAAAAAUGCCCAGUAUCCUAGCACCAUGCUGUGUAUACUGAAGCUGGGUCACGAGCACUAGGUGAAAAUAUUUGAGAAUCGAUCGAUCUCAAAAUGGGAUUAUUGGGGGCUACAUGCGUGGGCUACUCACAUAAUGCAAAGAAUACCGUUAGAUGAGCACUUUGGGGGCAGUGAAUAUGAAUACGGGGGUGGGUAGUUGGUGAAUUUAUAUAUAAUGAAUGAAUUCAUAUGAGGAAAUUCGAUGUAACUGAGGACUUGUUUUUCCUGGGUCGUCGACUCGUAAUAGCAGGACUUGCUUUGCCUCCACUUUAAUGUUGGAGAUGACUUCCUUUUUUUAUCUUUUGUAAAAGCCAACAUGUGAACAGGACGACUUGGAAUUUGAUUCCUCUUCUCUUUAAUUCUGUAAACCACACCGUACCGGACCACCCAACCUUUUCAAGUUAUAACUAGGGAAGGCAAUGGAGUAUGAUGGAAGAAUACGCAGAUGAAUAUGGUGUGUAUAUGAUUCUAUGUUUCGAUCUUCUUUAUAGGAGGAGUGGAAUUUCUUUUCUUUCUUUUUUUGGACAAAAGGAGUGGAAUUUCUUUUUGUUUUUGUUGUUUUUGUACUUUUUCAGAUAACCCAAUCAUCUCAAUUGAGUUAGAGUUUUACUUGAGAUUUCAAUCGAGUAAGAGUUUUAGUAGCUGAGAAUUUCCAAAUGAGGUAGUUUUGGAUAAAUAAAGUAUGACGUCAUAUUUCUUAAAUAUAGAAAUAAAAUUGUAAUCGGAAAGUAUGAUAUCUCAAUUUCGUCAUCAAAAAACUGUUCUGAAUAGGAAAGUAAGUAAUAUGAGUUUUCUUUUGGGGAAAGUAAUAUGAGUUUCUUAAUAAUAUUUUUGAUAAUAAAAUCUGAAUAAUUCACAAUUCAAACGUUUAUUGAAUACUUUAGUGAUAAUAACCAUUAAAUAUAGUUUAUAGAGUAGAUAAUUAAUGUGCAAAAAGUAAGGAGGAAAAUGAAUGUGAGAGGAUUCAGGUUCAAGAUUCCUUUAUUUUCCCUCGCAGGAAAAUUGUUAUUUCCUUAGAUGUACGAAGCACAAGAAAGGAAAAGGCUUCUCUCUCCAAACUUUCUAUUUCUGGAACCAAAUAUGGCUUGACGAUAGAAAACUUAUAUUGAAGAAUUGUUAUUAUCCCAAACUUUCCAUUGCGGGAACCAAAUGAGGCUUGACGAUAGAAAAUUUCUUAUUUUGAAGAAACUGUUUGAUUUCGUCGUUGAUUAUUUGCUUUACCUUGUCAUCCUCAGUUCCUAACAUAUGUACAUGCAUGUAUUUGAAAGGAGCAAAUACAAAAAGAUGAAAUAGAUCGUAAUACUUUCCCAUUUGUAGCGUAUCGACUAGAACUUAUCAAAACACAUCAUGGCCCACAAAAUUCAAUUUAUUUUCUUGAAAUUAAACAUCUUUCUGAUUUUAAUUGGUAAUUCAAACGUAUACUCUUGGUUCUUCUAGUAUGAACGCGAAGCAAAUUUAUAUUUUCCGCAGUACUGUCAAUACAAUUGGACGUCCUCCGUUCUCAAUUGCAAGUUUUCUAUUCAUUUUGGCUCUUCUUAUGAUUCAAAGAGUUUUGUUCGUAGAAUUAACAAAUAGGGCAUGUAUACUUACAUAAAAUAUGAAAUGAAAUUGAAAAGUGAGGGAAUGAUUAUGGCAAAAGGUGAUUCUAACGUUUACUUACACAUAAUGAAAUUGGAAUGAGUGUGGCUCCCACCCCUAAUAAGGAAUCGAUUCUUUAACAACUAUGAAUUGUAAUACCAAGGGGAGAGGUGGGAUUAAGAAUGAUAUCAUCGGGAAUGAACUUUUAUUCUGAAAAUACCUUCUUUAAUUUUAUUAUGCUAAUAAUAUUAAGAUGCUAAUAAUUUCAAUUUUUUUUUCCCUUAAAGGCUUUUUUUUAUAUACUAAUAAUAUACUAUUUGUGGAAGUUGUUUAUUUUUUUUUGUAUUUAUAAAAUUGCUUACUUGAUUUAAAUAUAAUAUUACUAAAAUGUAUAAACAUAUGAUGCUUUAAUUUUGUUGUUCAACUUUUGCAACUUGAGGUUUCAGAUACACCCAAAAUGCUAGUACUAGGUCUAAAUGAUUUUGAUAAAUCAUGGUCUAGAAUUGAGAUACACCAAGCGCACAUGUAGUCUCUAUAUUAUAUUAUUAAUAUGUAACAACAUGAUUACAAUUAAUACACUAAAUAGAAAUAGUCAUUUGGUUUGUUGAUUAUACAUAACUUAUCAAUUGAGACAAUCAAAACGACAAACAAAACUAGAUCAACAUACAAGGAAAAAUUGUGUUGAGAGUGACUGAAAUGUGUAGCUUAUUUUUUUUAUGGGUAUUUUUGUAAUUAAAAUAUUAAUUGAUUACAUUCAUGUUCUAAUUCCAUGUGGUAAGUAAACAGCUCAAUGGAAUUGAAAUAUCCACAUACUGUUCAAUUCCGUCUCUCAUUCCUUUUGUCUUUCAUUCCUGAUGAAUUUCAUUCCAAGUAAGUAAACGUGUUAAUGAUUUUUUUUUUAAACUGAAAUUUACACAUCCUAAAUUACAAUCCACACAUCAUGUCCCACUUUUUUAUAUGAAAAUAUCAAAAAUACCUUUUUUAGACAACUUAAAAAGAUUAAAACAUGGAUAAUUUUGACAUUUUUAUAUUAAAAGUGGGUCAAGAUGUGCAUAUUGUAAUUUAGAGCGUACAAAUUUCAUUUUUUUUUUUAUGACGAAAAAAUAGUUAAAGGUGGUCAAGAUAUUGACUUUCACAGUCCCACAUGCAUCGAAGGCCAAACGAACUUCUCCAUCCAUUUUUCUUGACUUUGCACUUGUUCUUUUUGGUCUUUGCAUUGACUUGCACGUUUUUUCAGCCUGUGAAUCCCCUCAUAUCUGGGUUUGAACACUUUGCGUGAUGAUAAAUCUGAAAGCCAUCAAUUGAAGUCAGAACAUUUGGAAAAAUGGUUUCUGAUUGAUCAUGGUUCGCUGAAUCAUGACUGCAACUCUUAUGGAGAUGGUAAUGUAUUGGAAUGGAUCGAAGCUUUAUGACUUGAACUCUUGAAGAACAUAUAUGUAGCGUAGGAGAUAUGAUUAUGUAUUGGAAAAGAUCUUUAUGAGUGAACAUCUUUGUAGCGUAGAAAAGAUGUUGCGUGGACUUCAUAUUGUUAGGUUAUUCUUGUUAGAGAAACAUAGAGGUAGUGUGUUAGUACUUAACCCGGUUUUUUAAUCGGAUUCAUUAUUGUGAUUUUCAUCACAUUAUUUGAUUGAGUCACACAAUUCUAAUAAUCUUACAGAGAUGUAAUAAAAUAUGUUGGUGGACCGCUGUUGCGAACUUGCGAUCCAACAACAUUAAAGUUGAAAGAGGAUCAAAGUAUAUGGAGAAAAUAGCCGGAGAAUAAAGACGACAUGUGAAUCACUGGUUGACAUAUUGUACAUCAGAGAGGAUUCAAAACACCAAGGUGCACUUAAACCAAGAUGAAUAGACCGUUGGAUUACAUUUAUCCUAUUAUUUAAUAUUUAAAUAAAAAGUUAAGUAUAAAUAUCAACGGUUAAGAUUUUCUAAUAAAUACUUGGUUCACUUGUACCUUGAUACAUGCAAGAAUUUUCGAUUGUACAUAUCCCAGAAUUGCAUUUUCUUCAAACAAUACCCCAUUGGAGACUUCAGCACACCCAACAGCCACAUUCAAUUGCAACUUAUGAUGUGACGCACUUAUUAUAGCAGAAUCGGACACACAAUUGAUGAACAUGAUCAUGGCUAGGAUUUGUUUUGUUAGACCCCAAAUUCAAUCAUGAGGAGAUGGGGAAAGGCCCAUUGAGUAGUUGUUGUUCCAUAAUUGUUUGAGGGAACAUGCACGAGGAUGAGAUGAAAAUAAACGAGUCUAACCGGCGGGGGAACGUAAAACCUAAGUUUUUAAGAACACAAUAAUAACUAAAAAAAAAUUGAUCUAUCUAUGGUCCGUUAGUUUAUUUCUAUGUAUGACACUCUCUACCCGACAGUUCAUUUUUUGAUCUUUGAUGAGUAGUGCUACUUUUAUGUCACUCUUUUUUAUAUAGAUUCAUUUGUUAUUAUUCGUAGUACAUGUUAUUAUUCCUAUUAUCAUAUUUUGUAUCGAUCUAUAUGUUUUAUUACUUAGCAUAGCAGUUCAUUACUUGAAUAAAAGAACUUGAGCAUUGGUCCAAGGAGAGCCUAUUCAGCGCACUCGUCAUCUCCACCGUCGAUUUUGACGCGGACUUAACAGAGCUUUUUGACUUUUUCAAAAUCGACGGUGGAGAUGACGGGUGCGCGGCGCAUCCGGGUGCGCUGUAUAAUUUUCGUGGUCCAAGUCUCCAAGAUCAAGAAGAAUGGCAAACAAAGUCGAGACUCAAGACAGAGAAAUAUUGUCACAUAUAUUGCUUUUCUGUUCUCCUUGCUCCCUUGUGCCAAACGGAAUGUCUGAAGUUGUGCAACGCAAAACUCAUCAUGAUUGUGCUUCCAUAGAGGUGUAGAAGGCUUAACUUGAGCUGCAUGGAACUGUUAUCAGCUCAUGCUUUGUCUAACAAACAUUUUAGAAAUCAUAACUUCAAGUUAAGAUGAUUGAAAAAAAAAAAAAAUGAAAAAAAGAUGGUGCAAUCAUGUCAAAGGCAUAUAGUAAUCAAGUCCAUGUUUACCACGCACUAAUCACCUGCUUAAGAGCCAUACGGUAAGAUAUGAUAAAGAAAAAUAACUGCCCAAACCUGCAGUGUGUAAUUGUACCUUUCAUAAUGCUGUUUGAUAAAAAACCUGGAUACAUGGAAGAGAAAGCUUGAUUAUUUUCGAGAUUAUACAAAGGUCUUAUAAGAUAACUAGGUUUUAUAAUUAGAUGUUCUAUAUGAUAUGAUGCGACAUUAUAAUAUUAACUUCGUUACAGACUUGCAACAAACAUGCUUUUGAAAUGAUUGAUAAUAUCUAAUACCUCCUGGCCCAAUACAUGUAGUUGAGAAAAUUGAGGGAGUUGAGAAUGCUAAGAAGUGUGUAGAACAGAUCCAAGCGCCCAUGAUUCAUGUUCAUCCCUCCAAGCCAUUCUUUGCCAUAGCUUCCACUAACUGAAUUUACUAUGGACACCAGAAAUGAGCUCAAGAAGUACCCCAUUGAUGUCGAACACCAUGACAAAGCAGUGCACAUACUUCUCAUGCUACUUGGUGCCUCGGAGUAGAAGAACUCGAGCAUCCCACCUAGAGUGAGCAUAUCAGACACUCCCAGCAACAAGAAUUGCCACCCGAGCCAAAACACAGACAUCACAUUGUUGUCAGCAGCCUCUGCGCGCCUCUUAGCUUCGACUAGAGCAGCUACUGCCAUUGAGCCUGAUGCUAGUGCUAGCCCCAGUCCCAUCCUCCAGAGCGGUUUGAAAAUGAUGUUCUUUCCAGAAUAUAAUCGUUCGUAUAAGGGAAUCGAGGAUAGCAUGAUGAUGAGAGGGAUCACAUUUAAUGAUGGAGUGGGAAUUUCAAAGUUAUGUAGUUUUCUAUUCAUUAUGCUCCCUUGUACCACGGAGAAUGUUUGAAGUUGAGCUAGGCAGCAGUUCAUCAUGAUUGUGCUUGCAAAUAUAGGUAAAAGGCCAAUAAAAGUUCUUGUUUCCUUUACUUCAGCUGCAGUGACUCUGUUGUCUAUCAAUGCUUUGUCCAGGAACCUGAGAAAUCAUUGCUCAAGUUAGAUAACAGAUACAUUAAACCUUGUUGCAUGCCAUAGUGUUACCAUGCCUGCAGCAAUAACACAAAAGAAGAACAAGAGAAAUGCUAGCAAACCUAUUCUCUUGAUAAAAACCAUUCAUUUUCAAGAUCACACUUUAAGAUCAUUGUUGCAAGAAAUCAAUCGAAUUGGAAAUGGUUUGCUCAUAUAAAGGUUACGAAAUCUAUAAUGAAGAUGACAACAUUAAAGGAUUAAUUAAGUUCCAACAUUGCGCCCAUUGAGAAGACAGGAAAAGAAGUUACUUAAACUUGUGAUCUCCAUCAGCUCUGUUCAGGUUGAGUGCAGCUACUGCAUACUGGUUUCCCAAUCUCUGGUUCGGUGAGGCUUUCCAGUUUCGAGCAGCAUAAGUAAGUACCUUUUACAUUCCAAAACACAGAAAAAUCAAAAUGUAAAUAGUGUAUUUGUACUUCAAUAGUAUUUUUUUUUUCAACUGCAUUUACAUACCUUGAUGAUCCUUGUCAAUGCACUCCCAGUGGGUCGUUUGUGCCUAUAAAAUGGACUUCCACUGAUGAAAAUAAAAAGUGCCAAACACAAAACUAUAACUGUUAUGGGAAAGCUCCAAUUCCAGCCUUUGUUCUCUUCCACCCAGACCAUGACAGUUGCGCUAAUGAGUCCACCAGUGCAUAAGGAAAAGAAAAACCAGUUGAAGAAGGCAGAUAUCUGUCUCUGAUUGCUGUGAUCAAGCUGAUCAGCACCAUGUGCAGGUAAGUUGGCAUUGAUUCCAGCAGCACCAGCAGCAACGGAGUAAAUGCCGGUGUACAGAAAUGCUGCUUGAGACUGAGAAGGCUGUAGAUUCAACGCCGGCCGUAACCUUGUGCUAUGAGAUUGGAUUGUCAGCAAGAUUAGUCCCUGUGUAUAAUUUGAGUCAAGAGGCUGUAAAUUUAGGAUUAGAGAUGAUAGUGA
Molecule: long non-coding RNA, 8364 nt
Filed under: Fragaria vesca (wild strawberry)
Lineage: Eukaryota; Viridiplantae; Streptophyta; Magnoliopsida; Rosales; Rosaceae
Description: long non-coding RNA (FVES_LNC000606)
Source: RNAcentral